UACAUGGGGUGCAAACGUUGCUCGGAAUCAUUGGGCGUAAAGCGCGCGUAGGCGGUUACUUAAGUUGGAUGUGAAAGCCCUCGGCUUAACUGAGGAAGUGCAUCCAAAACUGAGUAGCUAGAGUACGAAAGAGGGUCGCGGAAUUCCCGGUGUAGAGGUGAAAUUCGUAGAUAUUGGGAAGAACACCGGUGGCGAAGGCGGCUAUCUGGACCACAACUGACGCUGAGGCGCGAAAGCGUGGGGAGCAAACAGG
RNAcentral lists this ribosomal RNA (253 nucleotides) under uncultured bacterium. RNAcentral describes it as "partial 16S ribosomal RNA". It matches the Rfam family "Bacterial small subunit ribosomal RNA", at positions 524 to 776 of the family's 1533-position model. The record is from RNAcentral.